RNAcentral lists this ribosomal RNA (47 nucleotides) under Pleosporales sp. RNAcentral's name for it is "partial 28S ribosomal RNA". The record is from RNAcentral. Lineage: Eukaryota; Fungi; Ascomycota; Dothideomycetes; Pleosporales.
GCUUGACCUCGGAUCAGGUAGGGAUACCCGCUGAACUUAAGCAUAUC